CCUUAUUCAGUGGGUUGGAGGUGUGUGCUCUAUGUCAUCACAACCUGCUUGAAUGAGGAC
This 60-nucleotide microRNA precursor is filed under the name Melibe leonina. RNAcentral describes it as "microRNA mle-mir-67 precursor". Its record names the gene mle-mir-67. The record is from miRBase by way of RNAcentral. Lineage: Eukaryota; Metazoa; Mollusca; Gastropoda; Nudibranchia; Dendronotidae.